CCUACGGGCGGCAGCAGUGAGGAAUAUUGGUCAAUGGGCGCGAGCCUGAACCAGCCAAGUCGCGUGAGGGAAGACGGUCCUAUGGAUUGUAAACCUCUUUUGUCGGGGAGCAACAGACGCCACGCGUGGCGUUCCGAGAGUACCCGAAGAAAAAGCAUCGGCUAACUCCGUGCCAGCAGCCGCGGUAAUACGGGGGAGGCGAGCGUUAUCCGGAGUUAUUGGGUUUAAAGGGUGCGCAGGAGGAAGAUCAAGUCAGCGGGAAAAUUGAGAGGGUCAACCUCUUCGAGCCGUUGAAACUGGUUUUCUUGAGUGAGUGAGAAGUAUGCGGAAUGCGUGGUGUAGCGGUGAAAUGCAUAGAUAUCACGCAGAACUCCGAUUGCGAAGGCAGCAUACCGGCGCUCAACUGACGCUCAUGCACGAAAGUGUGGGUAUCGAACAGGAUUAGAUACCCGAGUAGUC
RNAcentral lists this ribosomal RNA (459 nucleotides) under uncultured bacterium. RNAcentral describes it as "partial 16S ribosomal RNA". It matches the Rfam family "Bacterial small subunit ribosomal RNA", at positions 338 to 795 of the family's 1533-position model. The record is from RNAcentral.